AUGCUCGCUUUGGCAGCACAUAUAUUAAAUUGGAAUACAACAGAGAAUAUUAGCAUGGCCCCUGCUCAAGGAUGACAUGCAAAUUCAUGAAGUGUUCCAUAUUAAA
This 106-nucleotide small nuclear RNA is filed under the name Marmota marmota marmota (Alpine marmot). Lineage: Eukaryota; Metazoa; Chordata; Mammalia; Rodentia; Sciuridae. The record is from RNAcentral.